UGGCCCAUAGCGUAAUUGGCAGCGCACUCGCCUUUGGAGCGAGCGGUCCGGGAUCGUACCCUGGUGGGCCAACCA
RNAcentral lists this transfer RNA (75 nucleotides) under Promethearchaeota archaeon. RNAcentral's name for it is "Candidatus Lokiarchaeota archaeon (microbial mat metagenome) tRNA-Gln". It matches the Rfam family "tRNA". Rfam says of the family: Transfer RNA (tRNA) molecules are approximately 80 nucleotides in length. Lineage: Archaea; Promethearchaeati; Promethearchaeota. The record is from RNAcentral.